UUGAACGCUGGCGGCAUGCCUUACACAUGCAAGUCGAACGGCAGCACGGGAGCAAUCCUGGUGGCGAGUGGCGAACGGGUGAGUAAUACAUCGGAACGUGCCCAAUCGUGGGGGAUAACGCAGCGAAAGCUGUGCUAAUACCGCAUACGAUCUACGGAUGAAAGCAGGGGAUCGCAAGACCUUGCGCGAAUGGAGCGGCCGAUGGCAGAUUAGGUAGUUGGUGAGGUAAAGGCUCACCAAGCCUUCGAUCUGUAGCUGGUCUGAGAGGACGACCAGCCACACUGGGACUGAGACACGGCCCAGACUCCUACGGGAGGCAGCAGUGGGGAAUUUUGGACAAUGGGCGAAAGCCUGAUCCAGCCAUGCCGCGUGCAGGAUGAAGGCCUUCGGGUUGUAAAGCUCUUUCAGCCGGAACGAAACGGUACGCUCUAACAUAGCGUGCUAAUGACGGUACCGGCAGAAGAAGCACCGGCUAACUACGU
RNAcentral lists this ribosomal RNA (482 nucleotides) under uncultured bacterium. RNAcentral's name for it is "bacterial SSU rRNA". It matches the Rfam family "Bacterial small subunit ribosomal RNA", at positions 30 to 506 of the family's 1533-position model. The record is from RNAcentral.